AACGCACCUUGCGCCCUGUGGUAUUCCGCAGGGCAUGCCUGUUUGAGUGUCAUGUAACUCUCAACCGCGCCGGUUUUGUGCCGGGGCGGGCUGGAUGUGGGCGCCUGCAGCGUGAUGCUGCUCGCCUGGAAUGUGUUAGUGGCGAUGUGCGAUGCCUGUGGCGUGAUAAGUUUCGCCUGGGCCGAGCGCGUUGGCUGCUGAGAACGUGUCCGCAAGGAUAACCUUUUAUUUCUGACCUCAAAUCAGGUAGGACUACCCGCUGAACUUAA
Molecule: unclassified non-coding RNA, 269 nt
Filed under: uncultured fungus
Lineage: Eukaryota; Fungi
Description: partial contains 5.8S ribosomal RNA, internal transcribed spacer 2, and large subunit ribosomal RNA
Rfam family: 5.8S ribosomal RNA (bases 1-52)
Source: RNAcentral